RNAcentral lists this ribosomal RNA (490 nucleotides) under uncultured bacterium. RNAcentral describes it as "partial 16S ribosomal RNA". It matches the Rfam family "Bacterial small subunit ribosomal RNA", at positions 30 to 507 of the family's 1533-position model. The record is from RNAcentral.
AUUGAACGCUGGCGGCAGGCCUAACACAUGCAAGUUGAACGGUAACAGGGAUCAGCUUGCUGAUUCGCUGACGAGUGGCGGACGGGUGAGUAAUGUCUGGGAAACUGCCUGAUGGAGGGGGAUAACUACUGGAAACGGUAGCUAAUACCGCAUAACGUCGCAAGACCAAAGAGGGGGACCUUCGGGCCUCUUGCCAUCGGAUGUGCCCAGAUGGGAUUAGCUAGUAGGUGGGGUAACGGCUCACCUAGGCGACGAUCCCUAGCUGGUCUGAGAGGAUGACCAGCCACACUGGAACUGAGACACGGUCCAGACUCCUACGGGAGGCAGCAGUGGGGAAUAUUGCACAAUGGGCGCAAGCCUGAUGCAGCCAUGCCGCGUGUAUGAAGAAGGCCUUCGGGUUGUAAAGUACUUUCAGCGGGGAGGAAGGGAGUAAAGUUAAUACCUUUGCUCAUUGACGUUACCCGCAGAAGAAGCACCGGCUAACUCCGUG